AGUGAACGCUGGCGGUAGGCCUAACACAUGCAAGUCGAACGGCAGCACAGUAAGAGCUUGCUCUUACGGGUGGCGAGUGGCGGACGGGUGAGGAAUACAUCGGAAUCUACUUUUUCGUGGAGGAUAACGUAGGGAAACUUACGCUAAUACCGCAUACGACCUACGGGUGAAAGCAGGGGAUCUUCGGACCUUGCGCGAUUGAAUGAGCCGCUGUCGGAUUAGCUAGUUGGCGGGGUAAAGGCCCACCAAGGCGACGAUCCGUAGCUGGUCUGAGAGGAUGAUCAGCCACACUGGAACUGAGACACGGUCCAGACUCCUACGGGAGGCAGCAGUGGGGAAUAUUGGACAAUGGGCGGAAGCCUGAUCCAGCCAUACCGCGUGGGUGAAGAAGGCCUUCGGGUUGUAAAGCCCUUUUGUUGGGAAAGAAAAGCAGCAGGUUAAUACCCCGCUGUUCUGACGGUACCCAAAGAAUAAGCACCGGCUAACUUCGUG
Molecule: ribosomal RNA, 492 nt
Filed under: uncultured bacterium
Lineage: Bacteria
Description: partial 16S ribosomal RNA
Rfam family: Bacterial small subunit ribosomal RNA
Source: RNAcentral